AUCGUUGGGUGCAUCAAAAGU
RNAcentral lists this non-coding RNA (21 nucleotides) under Rattus norvegicus (Norway rat). The record is from RNAcentral. Lineage: Eukaryota; Metazoa; Chordata; Mammalia; Rodentia; Muridae.